AGAGUUUGAUCAUGGCUCAGAUUGAACGCUGGCGGCAGGCCUAACACAUGCAAGUCGAACGGUAACAGGAAACAGCUUGCUGUUUCGCUGACGAGUGGCGGACGGGUGAGUAAUGUCUGGGAAGCUGCCUGAUGGAGGGGGAUAACUACUGGAAACGGUAGCUAAUACCGCAUAAUGUCGCAAGACCAAAGAGGGGGACCUUCGGGCCUCUUGCCAUCGGAUGUGCCCAGAUGGGAUUAGCUAGUAGGUGGGGUAACGGCUCACCUAGGCGACGAUCCCUAGCUGGUCUGAGAGGAUGACCAGCCACACUGGAACUGAGACACGGUCCAGACUCCUACGGGAGGCAGCAGUGGGGAAUAUUGCACAAUGGGCGCAAGCCUGAUGCAGCCAUGCCGCGUGUAUGAAGAAGGCCUUCGGGUUGUAAAGUACUUUCAGCGGGGAGGAAGGGAGUAAAGUUAAUACCUUUGCUCAUUGACGUUACCCGCAGAAGAAGCACCGGCUAACUCCGUGCCAGCAGCCGCGGUAAUACGGAGGGUGCAAGCGUUAAUCGGAAUUACUGGGCGUAAAGCGCACGCAGGCGGUUUGUUAAGUCAGAUGUGAAAUCCCCGGGCUCAACCUGGGAACUGCAUCUGAUACUGGCAAGCUUGAGUCUCGUAGAGGGGGGUAGAAUUCCAGGUGUAGCGGUGAAAUGCGUAGAGAUCUGGAGGAAUACCGGUGGCGAAGGCGGCCCCCUGGACGAAGACUGACGCUCAGGUGCGAAAGCGUGGGGAGCAAACAGGAUUAGAUACCCUGGUAGUCCACGCCGUAAACGAUGUCGACUUGGAGGUUGUGCCCUUGAGGCGUGGCUUCCGGAGCUAACGCGUUAAGUCGACCGCCUGGGGAGUACGGCCGCAAGGUUAAAACUCAAAUGAAUUGACGGGGGCCCGCACAAGCGGUGGAGCAUGUGGUUUAAUUCGAUGCAACGCGAAGAACCUUACCUGGUCUUGACAUCCACAGAACUUUCCAGAGAUGGAUUGGUGCCUUCGGGAACUGUGAGACAGGUGCUGCAUGGCUGUCGUCAGCUCGUGUUGUGAAAUGUUGGGUUAAGUCCCGCAACGAGCGCAACCCUUAUCCUUUGUUGCCAGCGGUCCGGCCGGGAACUCAAAGGAGACUGCCAGUGAUAAACUGGAGGAAGGUGGGGAUGACGUCAAGUCAUCAUGGCCCUUACGACCAGGGCUACACACGUGCUACAAUGGCGCAUACAAAGAGAAGCGACCUCGCGAGAGCAAGCGGACCUCAUAAAGUGCGUCGUAGUCCGGAUUGGAGUCUGCAACUCGACUCCAUGAAGUCGGAAUCGCUAGUAAUCGUGGAUCAGAAUGCCACGGUGAAUACGUUCCCGGGCCUUGUACACACCGCCCGUCACACCAUGGGAGUGGGUUGCAAAAGAAGUAGGUAGCUUAACCUUCGGGAGGGCGCUUACCACUUUGUGAUUCAUGACUGGGGUGAAGUCGUAACAAGGUAACCGUAGGGGAACCUGCGGUUGGAUCACCU
This 1530-nucleotide ribosomal RNA is filed under the name Escherichia coli. RNAcentral describes it as "bacterial SSU rRNA". It matches the Rfam family "Bacterial small subunit ribosomal RNA". Lineage: Bacteria; Pseudomonadati; Pseudomonadota; Gammaproteobacteria; Enterobacterales; Enterobacteriaceae. The record is from RNAcentral.